GGAAUGGUGGCUUAGUGGUUAGCACGUUUGCCUCGCACCUAUAGGGUUGGGGGUUCGAAUUCCUCCUCUGUCA
Ameiurus melas (black bullhead) is the source of this 73-nucleotide non-coding RNA. The record is from the annotation of a GenBank genome assembly. NCBI's taxonomy places the organism in Eukaryota, Metazoa, Chordata, Actinopteri, Siluriformes, Ictaluridae.